GCUCAGGAUGAACGCUAGCUACAGGCUUAACACAUGCAAGUCGAGGGGUAGCAGGGUAGCAAUACCGCUGACGACCGGCGCACGGGUGAGUAACACGUAUCCAACCUUCCCAUAACUCGGGGAUAGCCUUUCGAAAGAAAGAUUAAUACCCGAUAGUACUUAAGAGAGGCAUCUUUUUUAAGUUAAAGAUUUAUUGGUUAUGGAUGGGGAUGCGUUCCAUUAGAUAGUUGGUGAGGUAACGGCUCACCAAGUCUUCGAUGGAUAGGGGUUCUGAGAGGAAGGUCCCCCACAUUGGUACUGAGACACGGACCAAACUCCUACGGGAGGCAGCAGUGAGGAAUAUUGGUCAAUGGGCGAGAGCCUGAACCAGCCAAGUAGCGUGA
Molecule: ribosomal RNA, 383 nt
Filed under: uncultured Bacteroidales bacterium
Lineage: Bacteria; Pseudomonadati; Bacteroidota; Bacteroidia; Bacteroidales
Description: bacterial SSU rRNA
Rfam family: Bacterial small subunit ribosomal RNA
Source: RNAcentral